Manis pentadactyla (Chinese pangolin) is the source of this 3508-nucleotide long non-coding RNA. RefSeq lists it as uncharacterized. The record is from RefSeq and is a predicted model, not a curated record. Lineage: Eukaryota; Metazoa; Chordata; Mammalia; Pholidota; Manidae. The transcript is spliced from 6 exons.
CUUUUAUAAGCAAAAAUUCCAUUGGAGGAAACUGUAGUGGCUAGUGGUUUCUCACUGGCUGAGUUCUAACGGUCUCUCAUUGGCCGGGCUGUUGCCAGGACAGGAGAAAUGUCUUCCUAAGGGGAGAAGGCAGUGGGUGAUCUCUCACAAGGCCGCCGUCUUCUGGUUGGUCAGCCAUGACUAUGAGUGGUGCUGUGACUAUGUGGACGCGAGGGCGCCCCCUGCUGACCUCCCGGCUCCACUUUAAGUGGGGUUUCCUUUAUUAAUUUUCACAUAACAAAACCAGCCCGUCUGAGCAGAGAGGGAGGAUAUUUCCAGACUGGCUCAGGGACAGGUGAGGAGGCGUGCCAGGGGGCCGCUGUCUUUCUCCCGCGGAGAUGUGCGCGCAGUGGCGCUGCUGCUCUCCCAGACGUCCAUCCGUGCUCUGGGUCUCUAAGAAAUGGGAAAUGUGAGCGAGCCAUUGGCACCAAUGAUACAUCAGUCCUGUGCCUGUAGGUCAAAGGCAUUGCAAAGGAAGAGCAUUCCCAAGAGGCAAAGAGACAGAAAGACGGAGGGAAAGGGAGAGAGAGAAGAGCAAAUGAACUGGGAGCUAGAAUUGAAAGUGGUUGUAGGAAGUAACGGUGUCCCUGCAUUCUGAAUAAAAAGCAGUCACAGGAGGAUCAUGGUGGCAGUUUUCAAAGGCAGUCAGUGUCCACUCUUCAAACCUUGGGGACAUUAAGAAGGAACUGAAGCCAAAUUUGGAUCUAAUCUGAUGGGAUCCACUUGGUGGACACUUGAACAACUCAUUAUUUGAAGUGUGACCAGCAAACCCACACUGUGAAUAUCAGACCUCAGGGACUUUGCACAUGCUCUACUGUCAUCUUUAGAAGCCUUUUAAAGCCUUUUCCUGCUUUCUCUACUUGGAGAAGUCCAACCAUGCUUCAAAGCUCAGGACAAGAGAUCCUCCUGCAGCAAAGUCUCCUGCAGCACAUCCUCCAAUCCUACAAUCCAGGCCAGCAGAAAUUUUCUCUUUAUUUCCUAUCUCUGUCUUUGCUACUCUCCUAUCACUCAACCUUUGAUGAUGUUGCCAAUCUUGAGUUUCUUAUUGAGUAGGGAUUGUAUAUUUUGAUAUUGUCUUGAUAUUGUCAGACUCUAGAUUAGAACCAGGCAUAUAAAAAAGUGCAAUAAAAAUGGUUGAAAGAAUGAUGAAAAGAGUGUGCCAUAGUUUGCACACUUCCAGUGAUGGGGAUCUUACUCUAUUAUGAUGAAGCCUACAUAGUGGUCAUGUUCAUUAUAAAAUAAUUCAGCAUGUGAUCAAGAUGCAAUGAAGACGUGAUAACUCCAUACUAGUAGGAGUCAUGUAUUCUCAACUAGAACCAAACACCUGAUCGCUGGGCACUGAUUCUAAAGAGCCUUUUUUGAACCACUAUUUUUUUGUUUUCCUACUGGAGAGAUUUUGCAGGUUUUUAUGAAUCAUGUUGCAGAUAAACAUUUUAGCUAUAUGUGAACAUGACAUUAUUAACAAAUCAGAAGUAACAUUUUUGAAUACUAACUUGAAUGUUUUGUUAAAAUAAAAAGUCACAUGAAAACUGUUUUUUUUUAAAUUUUGGGACUGGAAUAAAUGUUCCUGGUGAUUUAGGGUGCUUUUUAAUAUUCAGAACUGCUUUUAAAUUUGGAAUUUUACUUUAAUCCAAGGAGAGUAUUCUUUUUAAAGUACAAAAUUAAGAAGUAAAAUCAAAGUGUUUUAAAACAAAUAGAAUGCAAUAAAAUUUGAUGUGUUUAAGGGCACUACAGGCUGAGAUUAGAAAGCUAUUAGGUUUCUUCUCCUAUAGACCUCAGAGAUAAACUAACACAAACAAUUUACUUCCUUGACUUCUAAAGAUUAUUUGCUGGUAAAAUGGAUUGAUAUCCUUUCACAUAAACACACUUGUGGUUUAGACCACACUGACAUUUUUGCCCUCCACUUUGAAUAACACUGGCCAGUUUUUGUUCCAAGAUUAUCCUUAGUUAAUAAUGAUCUCAGAUGAUUUUUGGUCUAGAUAUAACACUUUUAAUACUGAAAAGGAAUGAGCACUUGGUCUCCUACAGAUGCUAACACCAUUGCCACGAUGUCAACUCAUCUCUCUUUGGCCUUUGGUUGGCCUCUUCAUAUCUAAUUGGAUGGUUGGAUUUUUCUUGAAAACCAGCAAAAAGAUUUGUUAGCUUCUAGAUAAAAGGGUUCUAAUGAAAAAUGUUCCAAUAUCUCAGCUUAUGUAUCCCACUCUAUCUUUCAAUGCUUUGUUUAAAAGUCUCAUCUGUUAUUUGUUAGUUUUAAUCCAGGUACUUUUCACAGUUUUGCAGACCAGCUAGAACAUGGGCAUUGUGUUUAGGCCUGGUUUGAAUCUUGGUUCUGUCCUUCACUACCUGUGUGGCUUUGGGCAAUUCAUUUGACUUCUCUGAAUCUCAGUUUCCUCAUCCAUAGUAGAGAAGAAAUACCUGACUCGCAGUGUUGUUGGUUGUUGUGAGGGUAAAUGAGAUACAUAAAAAAAGCACCCAAUAAUGGGUUUAUAACAUGGAGGGCAAUCAAUCAACAUAUUAGCUAAUUAAGUCUGUCAUAAAAGUUUAUCUUUCAUUUAAAUAUUUAGUUUUUUUGACCAAAAAAGUGAAUUUACUAGACUACAGCUUGGCACAUUUUUUAAAUACCCAAGCUCAAUGAAAUUGAGUUUAUUGUAGUGUAAAAAGCAAAAAUAGUAUUCUAGCACAAUUUCCUAAAGUAUAAAUUGGGACUAUUACUUGAUAGGAAGUUUCAAAUGCUCACAUCAAUGUGAGAAACACUGGACUAAAAGAUUUAUUUACUGUAGGACUACUCAGCACCUUAAAAUGCAAAUAUAUCCCUGAAUGUCCCAGCAGUAUAUGAUAUUCAGCAGUGACUACAGAAGUCCCUUUUCUCAAGUGAUUAGCAUUCCCUGGAAUACACUUUGGGAAGCUGUUCUAAGACAAACCUCAAACGAAUUGGAAAUUUUCAUGACAUUUUUUUCAAACAGCCCAUUUCAUUGAUAAUCAUAACCAUCUAAUAUAAAGAGAAAUGUGUAGGUUUAUUUAUGUAACAUUUAAUUAUGUACUAUUUGCAGAUUUCAAUACUUUUUUCUAAUUUAUGACUUCAUAAAAUAACUAUUUGCACUGUGAUAUUUAUUACAAGAAGUUACCAUAUGUAUACUUUAACUGCAAUGGUAUAAAAGAAAUUUAUUGUCCACGUAUAAUUCCGAAUGGGAAGUUCCUAAAUUUGGGAACAAAGAAAGAAAGCACAAGAAGAAAAUAACUCCUGUUCUUUCAUAAACAAGCUGCAGAUCAUUAUGAACCCUUUCUUUUUCUUGCUAUAAACAAUUUUCCAUAUUAUUCUUCAAGUAAGAUGCAUGUAUAGACCUGGUAAAGCUGAUUCAAAAGCUGUAUUAUGGUAAUAUUUUAAUAUGAAAAUGUGGGAAAGGAUAUUCAUAUGGGAGGUGUGUAGGAAAUUGCCUUUGCUAAAAUCUUUAAUUAUGUUGUCAUUUAU